Molecule: ribosomal RNA, 669 nt
Filed under: Escherichia coli
Lineage: Bacteria; Pseudomonadati; Pseudomonadota; Gammaproteobacteria; Enterobacterales; Enterobacteriaceae
Description: partial 23S ribosomal RNA
Rfam family: Bacterial large subunit ribosomal RNA
Source: RNAcentral
UGGGAAGGCCCAGACAGCCAGGAUGUUGGCUUAGAAGCAGCCAUCAUUUAAAGAAAGCGUAAUAGCUCACUGGUCGAGUCGGCCUGCGCGGAAGAUGUAACGGGGCUAAACCAUGCACCGAAGCUGCGGCAGCGACGCUUAUGCGUUGUUGGGUAGGGGAGCGUUCUGUAAGCCUGCGAAGGUGUGCUGUGAGGCAUGCUGGAGGUAUCAGAAGUGCGAAUGCUGACAUAAGUAACGAUAAAGCGGGUGAAAAGCCCGCUCGCCGGAAGACCAAGGGUUCCUGUCCAACGUUAAUCGGGGCAGGGUGAGUCGACCCCUAAGGCGAGGCCGAAAGGCGUAGUCGAUGGGAAACAGGUUAAUAUUCCUGUACUUGGUGUUACUGCGAAGGGGGGACGGAGAAGGCUAUGUUGGCCGGGCGACGGUUGUCCCGGUUUAAGCGUGUAGGCUGGUUUUCCAGGCAAAUCCGGAAAAUCAAGGCUGAGGCGUGAUGACGAGGCACUACGGUGCUGAAGCAACAAAUGCCCUGCUUCCAGGAAAAGCCUCUAAGCAUCAGGUAACAUCAAAUCGUACCCCAAACCGACACAGGUGGUCAGGUAGAGAAUACCAAGGCGCUUGAGAGAACUCGGGUGAAGGAACUAGGCAAAAUGGUGCCGUAACUUCGGGAGAAGG